RNAcentral lists this ribosomal RNA (1434 nucleotides) under uncultured organism. RNAcentral describes it as "bacterial SSU rRNA". It matches the Rfam family "Bacterial small subunit ribosomal RNA". The record is from RNAcentral.
CUGGCUCAGGAUGAACGCUGGCGGCGUGCCUAACACAUGCAAGUCGAACGAGAAGCACCUUCGGGUGUGGAGAGUGGCGCACGGGUGAGUAACACGUAGUUGAUCUGCCUCAGAGAUGAGAAUAACUCACAGAAACGUGGGCUAAUGCUCAAUAAGCUCCCAUGCUUUAAAGGGAUGGGAGAAAAGCUCCGGCGCUUUGAGAUGAGACUGCGGGCCAUCAGCUAGAUGGUAGGGUAAUGGCCUACCAUGGCAACGACGGCUAGGGGACCUGAGAGGGUGACCCCCCACACUGGAACUGAGACACGGUCCAGACUUCUACGGAAGGCAGCAGUGAGGAAUCUUGCACAAUGGGCGAAAGCCUGAUGCAGCGACGCCGCGUGGGUGAAGACGGGUUUCGGCCUGUAAAGCCCUUUUCUGUGUGACGAGAGUGGACGGUAGCACAGGAAUAGGUCUCGGCUAACUACGUGCCAGCAGCCGCGGUAAAACGUAGGAGGCAAGCGUUAUCCGGAGUUACUGGGCGUAAAGCGCGUGCAGGCGGGUCGGUCAGUGAGUUAUGAAAGCCCUCGGCUAAACUGGGGGAGGUUGACUCAGACUGCCGAUCUAGAGUGGAGAAGAGGAAGGUAGAAUUCCGCGUGUAGUGGUGAAAUGCGUAGAUAUGCGGAAGAAUACCAGUGGCGAAGGCGGCCUUCUGGUCUCCAACUGACGCUCAGACGCGAAAGCAUGGGUAGCGAACGGGAUUAGAAACCCCGGUAGUCCAUGCCGUAAACGAUGCACACUAAACGUUCGAAGUCCGAAAGGGCUUUGAGUGUUGAAGCAAACGCGAUAAGUGUGCCGCCUGGGGAGUACGAUCGCAAGAUUAAAACUCAAAGGAAUUGACGGGGGCCCGCACAAGCAGCGGAGCGUGUGGUUUAAUUCGAGGAUACGCGAAGAACCUUACCCGGGUUUGACAUCAUGGUAGUAGGUUGCAGAGAUGUAGCCGACCUUCGGGAGCCGUGACAGGUGCUGCAUGGUUGUCGUCAGCUCGUGCCGUGAGGUGUUCGGUUAAGUCCGCAAACGAGCGCAACCCUUAUCGUUAGUUACAAGUGUCUAGCGAGACUGCCCGUGACAAACGGGAGGAAGGUGGGGAUGACGUCAAAUCAGCAUGGCCUUUAUAUCCGGGGCGACACACACGCUACAAUGGUAUGGACAAUGGGUCGCGAAGCCGCGAGGUGGAGCCAAUCCCGCAAACCAUAUCUCAGUUCGGAUUGUAGGCUGCAACUCGCCUGCAUGAAGUCGGAGUUGCUAGUAACCGUGUAUCAGCACGGCACGGUGAAUACGUUCCCGGGCCUUGUACACACCGCCCGUCACGUCAUGGGAGUUGAUUACGCCUGAAGUCGGGAAGCCAACCGAAAGGGAGCUACCGCCGAAGGCGGAGUCGAUGACUGGGACGAAGUC